This 492-nucleotide ribosomal RNA is filed under the name uncultured bacterium. Its description in RNAcentral is "partial 16S ribosomal RNA". It matches the Rfam family "Bacterial small subunit ribosomal RNA", at positions 29 to 507 of the family's 1533-position model. The record is from RNAcentral.
AGUGAACGCUGGCGGUAGGCCUAACACAUGCAAGUCGAACGGCAGCACAGUAAGAGCUUGCUCUUACGGGUGGCGAGUGGCGGACGGGUGAGGAAUACAUCGGAAUCUACUUUUUCGUGGGGGAUAACGUAGGGAAACUUACGCUAAUACCGCAUACGACCUACGGGUUAAAGCAGGGGAUCUUCGGACCUUGCGCGAUUGAAUGAGCCGAUGUCGGAUUAGCUAGUUGGCGGGGUAAAGGCCCACCAAGGCGACGAUCCGUAGCUGGUCUGAGAGGAUGAUCAGCCACACUGGAACUGAGACACGGUCCAGACUCCUACGGGAGGCAGAAGUGGGGAAUAUUGGACAAUGGGCGCAAGCCUGAUCCAGCCAUACCGCGUGGGUGAAGAAGGCCUUCGGGUUGUAAAGCCCUUUUGUUGGGAAAGAAAAGCAGCAGGUUAAUACCCCGCUGUUCUGACGGUACCCAAAGAAUAAGCACCGGCUAACUUCGUG